Molecule: ribosomal RNA, 850 nt
Filed under: uncultured bacterium
Lineage: Bacteria
Description: bacterial SSU rRNA
Rfam family: Bacterial small subunit ribosomal RNA
Source: RNAcentral
ACACAUGCAAGUCGAGGGGCAGCAUGGUCUUAGCUUGCUAAGGCCGAUGGCGACCGGCGCACGGGUGAGUAACGCGUAUCCAACCUGCCUUACACUCUUGGACAGCCUUCUGAAAGGGAGAUUAAUACAAGAUGUUAUCAUGAGUAAGCAUUUUCACAUGAUUAAAGGUUUACCGGUGUAAGAUGGGGAUGCGUUCCAUUAGAUAGUAGGCGGGGUAACGGCCCACCUAGUCUUCGAUGGAUAGGGGUUCUGAGAGGAAGGUCCCCCACAUUGGAACUGAGACACGGUCCAAACUCCUACGGGAGGCAGCAGUGAGGAAUAUUGGUCAAUGGACGAGAGUCUGAACCAGCCAAGUAGCGUGAAGGAUGAAGGUUCUAUGGAUUGUAAACUUCUUUUAUACGGGAAUAAACGAAUCCACGUGUGGAUUUUUGCAUGUACCGUAUGAAUAAGGAUCGGCUAACUCCGUGCCAGCAGCCGCGGUAAUACGGAGGAUCCGAGCGUUAUCCGGAUUUAUUGGGUUUAAAGGGAGCGUAGAUGGGUUGUUAAGUCAGUUGUGAAAGUUUGCGGCUCAACCGUAAAAUUGCAAUUGAUACUGGCAGUCUUGAGUACAGUUGAGGUAGGCGGAAUUCGUGGUGUAGCGGUGAAAUGCUUAGAUAUCACGAAGAACUCCGAUUGCGAAGGCAGCUUACUAACCUGUAACUGACAUUGAUGCUCGAAAGUGUGGGUAUCAAACAGGAUUAGAUACCCUGGUAGUCCACACGGUAAACGAUGAAUACUCGCUGUAGGCGAUAUACAGUCUGCGGCCAAGCGAAAGCAUUAAGUAUUCCACCUGGGGAGUACGCCGGCAACG